UAAAGUGACUUGAAAUUGACUUGGUUUGACAUUAUCUCAAGAACCCAAGAUAACAUUAUUGAUACCUUGGGAAGUCAUAGAAAUAAAGUUGAAUGUCACUGAUCUGAGAGUAGAGUCCAGAAAGAAGUAGCUUUGGUUCCUGAUCGGUUUAUCCUCAGGUGUUUGAGUAAGGCUUGGCCAUGAGCCACCCAAGGAGCCAAGUGGUGGUCUGCGUCCAUAUUUCAGCAUGCAUUUCAAUUUUCUCCUCAGUUCUUAGUGUUCAUUGCCUUUGUUUUUUCCCAGGAAAUGUUUUAGUUUGAACCUUAAAACCAGAUUUAUAUAUUGUAAAAAGAUUUUCACAGAGACUGUGUUUUAGGAGGCCUCAAUCAUCUGUGUGGGAUGUAUAAAAAUUUAAGAAUAAAUAUCAUUUUUAUGUCAUUUCUACACUCCCAAGGGAAAAUUUCAAUUCCCAGCUCACCAAAAGGUUAAAUACUAGUUGAUUUAACCACUAUCCUGCAGAAAAUUUGAAAUAGUAAAGGUUAAAUUUUGACUGGUGCUUAGACAUUUCCUCAUUACAUUAACUCAAGACAGCAGCAUAUUAACCUGAAUCACACCUGUAAGGAACUUACCUUCUAAAUUUGACUUUGUUCUUCAUC
Molecule: long non-coding RNA, 635 nt
Filed under: Bos taurus (domestic cattle)
Lineage: Eukaryota; Metazoa; Chordata; Mammalia; Artiodactyla; Bovidae
Description: long non-coding RNA NONBTAT008065
Source: RNAcentral